CGGCGGACGGGUGAGUAACACGUGGAUAACCUACCUAUAAGACUGGGAUAACUUCGGGAAACCGGAGCUAAUACCGGAUAACAUAUUGAACCGCAUGGUUCAAUAGUGAAAGGCGGCUUUGCUGUCACUUAUAGAUAGAUCCGCGCCGUAUUAGCUAGUUGGUAAGGUAACGGCUUACCAAGGCAACGAUACGUAGCCGACCUGAGAGGGUGAUCGGCCACACUGGAACUGAGACACGGUCCAG
This 244-nucleotide ribosomal RNA is filed under the name uncultured Staphylococcus sp. Its description in RNAcentral is "partial 16S ribosomal RNA". It matches the Rfam family "Bacterial small subunit ribosomal RNA", at positions 96 to 334 of the family's 1533-position model. Lineage: Bacteria; Bacillati; Bacillota; Bacilli; Caryophanales; Staphylococcaceae. The record is from RNAcentral.